This 253-nucleotide ribosomal RNA is filed under the name uncultured bacterium. RNAcentral describes it as "partial 16S ribosomal RNA". It matches the Rfam family "Bacterial small subunit ribosomal RNA", at positions 524 to 776 of the family's 1533-position model. The record is from RNAcentral. RNAcentral also lists the same sequence under 1 other name.
GACGUAGGGGACGAGCGUUGUCCGGAUUCAUUGGGCGUAAAGCGCGCGUAGGCGGUUGCGCAAGUCGGUUGUGAAAAUCCGGGGCUCAACCCCGGACCUGCAUCCGAUACUGCGUGACUAGAGGUAGGUAGGGGAGAUCGGAAUUCCUGGUGUAGCGGUGAAAUGCGCAGAUAUCAGGAGGAACACCGGUGGCGAAGGCGGAUCUCUGGGCCUUACCUGACGCUCAGGCGCGAAAGCUAGGGGAGCGAACAGG